UGGUAAGGGGGUGGUGGAGAUUUGUAAACUGGUGGAGGAGGCGGUGGUGACUUAUACUUGUAAACGGGUGGUGGUGGGGAUUUGUAGACUGGAGGAGGUGGUGGAGGAGACUUGUACUUGUAAACAGGUGGUUGUGGAGAUUUGUAGACCGGAGGAGGUGGUGGUGGUGAUUUGUAUUUGUAAACGGGUGGUGGUGGAGAUUUGUAGACUGGAGGAGGUGGUGGUGGUGACUUGUAUUUGUAAACCGGAGGAGGUGGUGGAGGAGACUUAUACUUGUAAACGGGUGGUGGUGGAGACUUGUACUUAUAAACGGGUGGUGGUGGGGAUUUAUAAACGGGUGGAGGUGGUGGUGGAGACUUGUACUUAUAAACGGGUGGUGGUGGGGAUUUAUAGACCGGUGGAGGUGGUGGUGGAGACUUGUAUUUGUAAACGGGUGGUGGUGGGGACUUGUACUUGUAAACAGGUGGUGGUGGGGAUUUAUAGACCGGUGGAGGUGGUGGUGGAGACUUGUAUUUGUAAACGGGUGGUGGUGGGGACUUGUACUUGUAAACAGGUGGUGGUGGUGAUUUAUAAACUGGAGGAGGAGGUGGUGGUGACUUGUACUUGUAAACUGGAGGAGGAGGUGGAGGAGACUUGUAUUUGUAAACAGGUGGUGGUGGAGAUUUAUAAACCGGAGGAGGUGGUGGCGGGGAUUUGUACUUAUAAACUGGAGGUGGUGGUGAUGAGUACACGUACUUCUUGGUUGGUGGAGGAGGAGAACUAUAGUAGUAAUUUGCUUUGCAUUCUAAAGGAAAGCUAAGGGACAGUAAAG
RNAcentral lists this long non-coding RNA (811 nucleotides) under Nicotiana tabacum (common tobacco). RNAcentral's name for it is "long non-coding RNA (NTAB_LNC000558)". The record is from RNAcentral. Lineage: Eukaryota; Viridiplantae; Streptophyta; Magnoliopsida; Solanales; Solanaceae.